AGUUAUCAAGAAGAAGACGUGUAAUCAAGAUGAGAAUUUCCCAGAAGAACUAUUUGAUGUAAUAACACAAGAAAAUUGCAUCCAUGAUAGGUGCAAUUCAUGCUAUGAAUUCCGGGCUUUCUGUCGAUAAUUAUUUUUCAGUGCAUGGAUGAAGUAUGGCGGGAUAAAAAUCCUUUCAUGCCAUCUGACCCCAUCAGGAAAGCUCAAGCCAGGUUCUGGGCUGACUUUGUUGAUAAAAAGGUUUUUACUGUAGGAAGAAAAACUUGGGCUACAAAGGGAGAAGAUCUGGAGGCAGCUAAUAUGGAAUUCAUAGAGACCUACAAAAUUUUGGAAGGAGAACUUGGAGACAAGCCUUACUUUGGAGGUGCAAACUUUGGGACAAAGUACCAAAAACCAUUAAUUCUUCUUCACAUUUAGUCAAGUCCAAAAACCUUCUUAAAUCCCAAAAUGGCUUCAUAGAGCUUCUUGGGUUCAGGAAGAGACUUGGAGACACUAUCCCUUUCCAUGCAUCUCUUAGCCCAUGCCACCAGCUUUGGGCACUCAGUCGCCGCAUUAAAGUUGCAGAUAAUCUCAUAGGUGUGUAGCCAACUGCAGAGUCCAAUGACAACAACGUCAAGAUACCCGAACUUUUCACCCCCAAAAUAAAGUUUGUCUCCAAGGGCUUCCUCCUCCAGCGUCUUAAUGGAGUUUGUCAAGCCAAUCUUUGCUGCUUCUGGCUCUUCUCCUUUUCUUGACCAGGAUGCAUGCUUACCUUUUUGUCAAGAAAAUCAGCCCAAAACCUGGCUUGAGCUCUCUCAUAAGGAUCAGAAGGCAAGAGUGAAGCUUUACCUUUCCACACCUCGUCAAUGUAUUCCACUGCAAUGAGGGAUUCACAAACGGGUUUUCCAUCGUGAAUCAGAACCGGGAUUGUCUUGUGAAUUGGAUUCAUCCUCAAGAGCAACUCACUUUUGUUGCCAAUUAGAUCCUCUUGUUUGUGCUCGUACUUGAUUUCUUUUUCUUCUAGUGCAACUCUUGCCCUCAUGCCAUA
Coffea arabica (coffee) is the source of this 1027-nucleotide non-coding RNA. NCBI's taxonomy places the organism in Eukaryota, Viridiplantae, Streptophyta, Magnoliopsida, Gentianales, Rubiaceae. The record is from RefSeq and is a predicted model, not a curated record.